CACAGACACACAGAUACACACGAGCACACACAGAUACACACAAAUGAGCGCACACACACACACACGUGAUUCUUAGAACCCGAGCCUGCUCACACAUGCCCAGAUCCUUCACUUCAUGGGCCAUGGCUAGGAUAAGGUAGUGGGUGCAGGCGGGGACCUGGCAGUGGAUCUGCUUCCCUAGUGGUACUGAGGGUCAAAGGCCACAGAGGGUCACUGAGCUACGGAGGGUGUGAAGUUGGGAGUGAUGGACAGUUCUGUUUCCCUGGAUUCCCCCCACCCUCUUUCCAUCUGUUUUGUCUCUUUCCCUCCCUGGAAGAGCUGGAAAAACAGGCUGCAUCUCUAUUUCCCACACAAGGGAAGGAGAAGGGGAUGUGACAGGUGUGUCUCCAGCACUCAGACUGUUCAGCAAAUAUUGGCUGGAGGGAAGGAUGGAGUUAGCUCUCAAGAGGUACUUUCCAGGGGAGGCCACAGAAGCCAAGAGAUAUGGAAAGGAAAUGGCACAUCCUUUCCCCCCAGGAUGCAUAACUGGGGGGGCAGUCUGAGAGUCUUUAUUCUUGUCCUCACCCUCCCCCCACCCAGGCCUGGGACAAGCUGCAAGGAUGGCUGAGAGGAAGACAAAGAGCUCUGACCUUGCAGGAGGGAGGCCACAUUAGAGGCCACGCUGCCUCCCUAGGCACACUCGGUGGGGUCAGGCCGGGUCCUCCAUGCUGAUGGCUGCCUGCCCUUGCCUGUUGCCCCUUGCCCCCCUCCUCAGGGUUUACUUCCAGCCCAGGCCCAGCAGACCCUGAUCCACCCUGAUGCCCUGUGGCACUGUUCCUGUGAUUUCUCCUGGGAGACACGAGUGAGAAGAAAUGCAUGCAUCUUCAGCAAGGAGGAGGGGGACUACCGGGGAGGAAGUGACCUCCUAGUGACCAGAGGAGGUGCCUCGGGAUCUGCCCCACAAACAGCUUGAUGGCAUCCGGUUCCUUCAUCGGGGCGGCCCAGGAGAAGGGGCCGAGG
This is a non-coding RNA of Odocoileus virginianus texanus, 999 nucleotides long. Lineage: Eukaryota; Metazoa; Chordata; Mammalia; Artiodactyla; Cervidae. The record is from RefSeq and is a predicted model, not a curated record.